UUGGGAAUCCGAUUUGAUCGA
This is a non-coding RNA of Caenorhabditis elegans, 21 nucleotides long. The record is from Ensembl. Lineage: Eukaryota; Metazoa; Nematoda; Chromadorea; Rhabditida; Rhabditidae.